This 492-nucleotide ribosomal RNA is filed under the name uncultured bacterium. RNAcentral describes it as "partial 16S ribosomal RNA". It matches the Rfam family "Bacterial small subunit ribosomal RNA", at positions 29 to 507 of the family's 1533-position model. The record is from RNAcentral.
AGUGAACGCUGGCGGUAGGCCUAACACAUGCAAGUCGAACGGCAGCACAGUAAGAGCUUGCUCUUACGGGUGGCGAGUGGCGGACGGGUGAGGAAUACAUCGGAAUCUACUUUUUCGUGGGGGAUAACGUAGGGAAACUUACGCUAAUACCGCAUACGACCUACGGGUGAAAGCAGGGGAUCUUCGGACCUUGCGCGAUUGAAUGAGCCGAUGUCGGAUUAGCUAGUUGGCGGGGUAAAGGCCCACCAAGGCGACGAUCCGUAGCUGGUCUGAGGGGAUGAUCAGCCACACUGGAACUGAGACACGGUCCAGACUCCUAAGGGAGGCAGCAGUGGGGAAUAUUGGACAAUGGGCGCAAGCCUGAUCCAGCCAUACCGCGUGGGUGAAGAAGGCCUUCGGGUUGUAAAGCCCUUUUGUUGGGAAAGAAAAGCAGCAGGUUAAUACCCCGCUGUUCUGACGGUACCCAAAGAAUAAGCACCGGCUAACUUCGUG